GAGGAGCCUGCCACGGUGGGCGUCUCGCCGCCACUGUAACUUAACUGUCGUCUAGUGUAAAGUGAAGAAACAGGAGGGGCGGCCGUCACUUUCCCCACUCAGAAAGUUACAGUCCUCGAUCGGAAACUCACCGGCUGCCAGUUGGUGCUUGUGUCAGGUUCAAGACCUUUGUGCUGCAGUGAAAGACUGCCAAGAGAACUGUACCACCACAUCUCAUGGGACCCAACACUGCUUCAAGCCUUAAACUCCCGUCAUCUGUUCAAGAAGGGACUGUGCUUUAGGCCCCUACUCCUGCUUCAAGAGACUGCUGUCUGUCAAACUGUUGUGUAAAAUAUAGAUACUAAUGUUGUCUGUGGAGAGCAUUUGGAUUCAUUUGUUUACUGUUAUUUUUUUAACAGAUGAUUUUAUCCAGAGUAACACAUAACUAAUGAUAAUGAAGCAGACUUAGACGCUGUCCCCGGAGCAACUGGCUUUAAGGGCCUAAACUGCUCAAGGGUGCAAUCAUAAAAUCACUUUGCCAGCCAUGGGAUUUGACCCAACACUGUCCUAACCCAUAGUUCCACACAUUUAGCAUAAAACAGUUCAUUGUCCCACUGCCCAAAGCAGGGGUCUCCAACUCCGGUCCUGGAGAGCUACUGUCCAGUAGGUUUUCUAUCCUACCUGGCUUCUGAUGAGCCACACCUGUUCUCAGGUAAAUACCAGGACUGGAGUUAGAGAAUCUGGCCUAGAGUUACUUCUCUGUGUGGCUUGUGUUCCUGUAUAUUCAGUUUAUGUUGCUGCCCAUGUCUCAGCUGCUCAGUGGACAUUAUUAUUACCUCAGCCCUCUAGGCUUGGGGGUUUGUAUCCCACCUUCAUCCUCUGUGUGGAGUUUCCAUCUCCCCAUGUCCCACUUAGUUUCUUUCAGGUAUGUUAGUUUCCUCCCAAAGGUCAAAGACAUACAGUAAAGCUAAUUGGUGUCUGUAUUGUGUGGAAACAUCAGUUUAUGGAAGAUGGAUGGGUAGAUGCUGCCUGCAUUGUGAACUAUAUGUUUCUCUCAGUUUAUGGUCAGGUUGUGAGUUAGUUAUGGUCAGGUUGUGAGUUAGUAUUAAUAGUAAAAUAUUUUGUGAGUAAUAUUUUAGUAUCUGAUACUGGGAUCAGUGCUACAGAAGGCUUACUGAGCUUCUGGGUUAUUUUGUCUUUGUUGAAGACAAUACUUGUUGAAGCUUGUCAUUUUCUUAAUGCAUUUAUUGUUUUGUUGUUAUUGGACUGGAUUUACCUUCCAAUACCAUUCAAGACCCCUUACAGUAAAAAAAUACAUAAACCAAACAUAUACUGGUAAUACGCGUUACACAUAAUAAAUAAAUGAAAAUUGUAAAUUUACUUAAAGGCGCAUUUUGUCCUUUUGCGUUAGCGCUUCUGUAAGGGUUUACGUAAAUAUGAAUUUUACUCAAGUCGGUUUUUCGAGUCGAGAGCCGCCAGCACUCAAACUUACAUAAUUUAUAUGGCUGACAUUUUCCACUAGAUGGCGUAAAAACAACAGUCAGUGACCGUCUCGGCCAUUUCUUCGAAAAGGGGACACCUUUCAUAUGUGUAGUAAUUUACAUCUGAAGUAAGAUACAAUGAAGAAUUCAGGAUAAGUAAUUAAAAGCAGGAAUAUACAGUUCCUUGUUAUGUAAUUUGCAAAUGGGAAAAUACACAAAACAAGUAAGGUCUACAAUGUAAUGCUUGGGUAAAGUCUAUAAUAACACUGAAAUGUAAUGUCUUUCUGCUGAGGUUCACAUUUUCUUAUGUGAAUUUUCAAGGCUAAGACAAAAAUGUCAGUGGGAGUAUUUGGGAUUUGGUUUGUAUACACAGGAAAUGCUGUACAUAUCUCAAAGACACAAGAGUGGGAGGGUGUUGAGCUGUGUGGAAAAAAAUAAAUAAAAUACAGAUAUUCAAGACAUUCAAAAAUUCAGAAAUGUCUUUAUGAAUAAACUGUACAAAAAUACAUGUCUGUAAUACAUAAGUCCUUUAUAGUAUACAUGAAUUGAGUUCAGAAGAUUCAUAUUAAAUUGGGAUAAGUAGAGUGCA
This is a long non-coding RNA of Brienomyrus brachyistius, 2049 nucleotides long. RefSeq lists it as uncharacterized. NCBI's taxonomy places the organism in Eukaryota, Metazoa, Chordata, Actinopteri, Osteoglossiformes, Mormyridae. The transcript is spliced from 3 exons. The record is from RefSeq and is a predicted model, not a curated record.